Molecule: small RNA, 673 nt
Filed under: Pongo abelii (Sumatran orangutan)
Lineage: Eukaryota; Metazoa; Chordata; Mammalia; Primates; Hominidae
Description: processed transcript
Source: RNAcentral
CUUCGCGUCCGUGUCGCGGCCCUGCGGUCGGCGGCCUCCUGGUGGAGUGGAGCAAGGCUGAGAUCUGUAUCUGUGGACCUGAAUGUUGAUCCCUCGCUUCAGAUUGACAUACCUGAUGCGCUCAGUGAGAGAGAUAAAGUCAAAUUUACAGUGCACACAAAGACCACACUGCCCACGUUUCAGAGCCCAGAGUUUUCUGUUACAAGGCAACAUGAAGACUUUGUGUGGCUACAUGACACUCUUAUUGAAACAACAGACUAUGCUGGGCUUAUUGAGUGGAGUGGUUGUCUCCUGUGGACCAGCAAGAGUAGAAUGAGGCUGGGACAAGAGACUCAUGAGUUCCUGCCUCUGCUGCAGAUUCCACCUGCUCCUACGAAGCCCGACUUUGAUGGUCCUCGAGAGAAGAUGCAGAAACUGGGAGAAGGUGAAGGGUCUAUGACCAAAGAAGAAUUUGCCAAGAUGAAACAAGAACUGGAAGCUGAGUAUCUCGCUGUGUUUAAGAAGACUGUGUCCUCCCAUGAAGUCUUUCUUCAGCGGCUUUCUUCUCACCCUGUUCUCAGUAAAGAUCGCAACUUUCAUGUUUUCCUGGAAUAUGAUCAGGAUCUAAGUGUUAGGCGGAAAAAUACUAAAGAGAUGUUUGGUGGCUUCUUCAAAAGUGUGGUGAAAAGUGCUG